UAGAUCUAUUUAUAUGCAUAAGAUCUAAGGCUGAGAAUAUAAUCUAAAUAUUGGUAUAUUGGUAGAGAGUGCAAUUAAGAGGGAUACGUAGGUGGUGAGAGUAGGUGAAGACAUCUUCUUUCCGACUCUGCUUGGGUAUGGAUGCUCACAUGUGGAUGUUGUGUUUGUGGACAAGUUGAUGUGUUUUCGGAAAUUGUGGUUGAUGUGUUUGUGGACAAGUGGAUGCUCACAUGAGAGACUUAUGUUUGUAGAUGGUCACUUAUGAAGAGAGACUUAUGUUUGUAGACGCUCACAUGUCUACAUCUUCUUUCCGACUCUGCUUGUGGAUGCUUACAUGUGGAUGUUGUAUUUGUG
RNAcentral lists this long non-coding RNA (354 nucleotides) under Brassica napus (rape). RNAcentral's name for it is "long non-coding RNA (BNAP_LNC015871)". Lineage: Eukaryota; Viridiplantae; Streptophyta; Magnoliopsida; Brassicales; Brassicaceae. The record is from RNAcentral.